CCGUUAAAAUGUAUUUUAUUAUUUUUUAUUUGUAUUACUUUUUCUAUUAAUCCAGUUCCUCCGCCAGAAUAUAGUCCCUCGCGUACCAGAAGGUUGUUAUGCAACAAAAUAACGAUCCACUAUCGGUGCUGCGCAGUGAUAUCCUGCACAGGUAUUGACCAAUCACAGACCGGAACUAUUCGUUGCUGUUAUAUCACUUUUUCCAACAAAUAAUUAGUUAAGAUUAGCCGACCAAAAAAGUGUCAGGUAAAAAGAUUAUGUUACUGAUUUCAGGGAUACUCCUGUAACUUGUAGCUUAAUCAGUGCCAGUUUACAUUUCAGAAAUAAUUUACGUAGCACAGCAGAAAGAAUGAGUUUAGGAAGGCACGAGGUGUGAUGGAACGCACAGCGUGAUGGAAAACAGGGCGAGAAGUCGAAUGUCAGAGGUUACAGGAUCUCACCCUCCUAUUGGCUCAACCCUGAUUCUGAUGAUGAUGUCACAGGCACAGCAAGUAAUGAGUGAAAGGAGACGCUGUUGUUCAUAUAGAGAUCAUCUCACAACCGGAUCCAGCAAAACCCAGACCUCAGUGUCUUGGCAGGCAGAUUUUUCCAGUGGCUCUGUAACUUGACAAGGAAAGAUCCAGAGUUCCAGUGUGACACAAAAACAACUGCAACUUACUUCGGCUGCCUGAUGCUUUUAUAUAUUAGAAGGGCUUUCCUCUGUGAAUCCUUAUCGCUUGGCAACAGAAGCUGUUAGGCUUGAGGGUGAUUGGAGGAGAGGAACGCAAGGUAAAGCGUGACUUUCAAGAAGCAGUGAAUGAGUCCGACUCCCCACCUUCCAUCAGUCAGAACGGAUUGGGAGAACAGCGGACCAGAAAAGGGAAAAACGCAAAGUGUUCAAAUAAACUCUACAGGGUAUCCUUUUCUCCUAGCUCAUGUGUCCCCAAAAACACCCCAGGCCACCAAAAUGUAGGUAAAAGGCAGAAAUUACGGUUGAGGUGGUAAAAAUAAUCCGUCCUGACACUUACAAGCUCCCACAGAGAUUUGAAGCUCUCCGCUUAUAAAAUAUUGAACAGCUACUAACACAAUUCUGUCUCCCAGAGCUGUCUGCAAUUCAUCUCAGAGAAAAAAAGCUCAAUAGGAAGUGCAAAGACUGCAGGGAAUGAUAAAAUGUCUACUUGUUCUCACCAGCAGAGGUCAAUGUUUUCAAAGCAUUCACAUGUGAUGGAUCUGCAGCAGCUUGGUUUGAAUGGAUAUAUGAAUGUGUGUUAUUUGCAUAAACCAGUC
This is a long non-coding RNA of Cyprinus carpio (common carp), 1266 nucleotides long. RefSeq lists it as uncharacterized. The record is from RefSeq and is a predicted model, not a curated record. The transcript is spliced from 3 exons. NCBI's taxonomy places the organism in Eukaryota, Metazoa, Chordata, Actinopteri, Cypriniformes, Cyprinidae.